UCCCCGGGCCUUAGUUAGUUGUGGGGUAAAGGCCUACCAAGACAAUGAUGCAUAGCCGAGUUGAGAGACUGAUCGGCCACAUUGGGACUGAGACACGGCCCAAACUCCUACGGGAGGCUGCAGUAGGGAAUCUUCCACAAUGGGCGAAAGCCUGAUGGAGCAACGCCGCGUGUGUGAUGAAGGCUUUCGGGUCGUAAAGCACUGUUGUAUGGGAAGAAAAGUUAAGGUAGGGAAUGACCUUAGCCUGACGGUACCAUACCAGAAAGGGACGGCUAAAUACGUGCCAGCAGCCGCGGUAAUACGUAUGUCCCGAGCGUUAUCCGGAUUUAUUGGGCGUAAAGCGAGCGCAGACGGUUGGUUAAGUCUGAUGUGAAAGCCCGGAGCUCAACUCCGGAAAGGCAUUGGAAACUGGUUAACUUGAGUGCAGUAGAGGUAAGUGGAACUCCAUGUGUAGCGGUGGAAUGCGUAGAUAUAUGGAAGAACACCAGCGGCGAAGGCGGCUUACUGGACUGUAACUGACGUUGAGGCUCGAAAGUGUGGGUAGCAAACAGGAUUAGAUACCCUGGUAGUCCACACCGUAAACGAUGAACACUAGGUGUUAGGAGGUUUCCGCCUCUUAGUGCCGAAGCUAACGCAUUAAGUGUUCCGCCUGGGGAGUACGACCGCAAGGUUGAAACUCAAAGGAAUUGACGGGGACCCGCACAAGCGGUGGAGCAUGUGGUUUAAUUCGAAGCAACGCGAAGAACCUUACCAGGUCUUGACAUCCUUUGAAGCUUUUAGAAAUAGAAGUGUUCUCUUCGGAGACAAAGUGACAGGUGGUGCAUGGUCGUCGUCAGCUCGUGUCGUGAGAUGUUGGGUUAAGUCCCGCAACGAGCGCAACCCUUAUUGUUAGUUGCCAGCAUUCAGAUGGGCACUCUAGCGAGACUGCCGGUGACAAACCGGAGGAAGGCGGGGACGACGUCAGAUCAUCAUGCCCCUUAUGACCUGGGCUACACACGUGCUACAAUGGCGUAUACAACGAGUUGCCAACCUGCGAAGGUGAGCUAAUCUCUUAAAGUACGUCUCAGUUCGGACUGCAGUCUGCAACUCGACUGCACGAAGUCGGAAUCGCUAGUAAUCGCGGAUCAGCACGCCGCGGUGAAUACGUUCCCGGGUCUUGUACACACCGCCCGUCACACCAUGGAAGUUUGUAAUGCCCAAAGCCGGUGGCCUAACCGUAAGGAGGAACC
Molecule: ribosomal RNA, 1229 nt
Filed under: Leuconostoc carnosum
Lineage: Bacteria; Bacillati; Bacillota; Bacilli; Lactobacillales; Lactobacillaceae
Description: bacterial SSU rRNA
Rfam family: Bacterial small subunit ribosomal RNA
Source: RNAcentral